UGAACUGGAGGUUAAGACUCCUGUCCAGGGACUUUGGUUUCCUGCUGCCUCUAAAUCAACAGGCAAAGAAGGGAGUUACUCUGCUGGCAGAGAUGAUUGAUCCUGACUACCAAGGAGAAACUGACUACUCCACAGUGGAGCCCUCUUGAGACCUGUCGGCUGUCUGACCUUGAGAAAGUGGGUGGACUAUUUCUGGCUGAGAGUGGAAAGAGAAAUCGCAUGGGAAAGGAAAUCCUCACACGCGUGUCAGCUGAAAUUUGGAUGGUGAUGAAAUUCAGAUGAUUUAGAUGGACCAGCAUGGAUAUUUCCCUGGCAUAACUUGUUAUUUUACAUCUGUGGAGCAGCAGUGAGUUGAUUGUGUCUUCCUGAAGAUCAAGACUGAAUCAGCAGUUUGCUGUGGAGAGUGUUUCUGUGCACUGGAGAAGGAAGAGCACAUUUCUGUGUGCUGGAGGAGGGAGAGCACAGCAAUUGUGAAGCAUUGAAGUCAGUGCUGUGCUACUAUAGCAGAAAGAAAAACUGGACCAAACUCAGUUGCCACCAGCUCACAGAGAGAGCAUUUAAACCAGCCCUCGUGAGAGAGGAAUUGCUGAUCCCGCGGUCAGAACUGGAGUUCCCAGAGGCCUUGCCACUACAGACUAAAGUGCUCUGGGGCUCUAAAUAAACUUGAAAGGCAUUCUAGGCUGCAAUUCCAGGUGACUCCUAGUGCUGAACUGGGCCUGUAGCCAGACCACUGAAGGGACAUGCAACCUCCUGAGACACCAGUCAGUGUGGGGCUAAGGGGGUGUUGCCAUCACCCCUGCUCUAACCCCAGGCUACACAGCUCAUGGCUUCUAAUAAGAUCCCUCCCUACUGCUUGAGGAGAGGAGAGGGAAGAGUGUGGAGGACUUUAUCUUACAUCCUUGAUACUAGCUCAGCCAUAGCAGGACAAGGCACUAGUCAGAGUUGUGAGGCCGCCUUUCCAGGCCCUAGCUCCCAUAUGAUAUUCCUAGAUACAACCUGGGCCACAAGAGAACCUGCUGCCUUGAUGGGAAUGACCUAGUCCUGGCAGCAUUCAUCACCUGCUAACUGAAGAGUAUUUGGGCCUUGAAUAACCAGCAGUGAUACCUAGGUACUAGUCGAGGGCCUUGAGUGAAACUCUGAGACAUACGACUUCAGGUGAGACUCAACACAUUCCCAUCUAUGGUGACUAUGGGGCAAGACUCCCUCUGUUUGAGAAAAGAAGAGGGAAAAUAAAGGGGACUCUGUCUUUCACCAUAUGUACCAACUCAGCCAAAAUGAGGUAGAGGAUCAAGUGGGUUCUUGGGGCCCCUGAUUCCAGCACUUGACUCUUCUAUGGCAUUUCUGGACCUGUCCUCUGCCAGAGGGGAGCCCAGUGCCUUGAAGGGUAAGUCCCAGGCCAGGCAGCAUUUGCCACAGCUAUUUCCACAGGUUAAGCCCUUGGGACUUAAAGAAACAUAGGUGGCAGUCUGGCAGUACUCCUUGUGGCCUGUGGUGGCAGUGGCCAUGGGGUGAGUCUCCUCAGCCUUUGGAAAGUGAGGAGGAGAGUGGGAAAGACUGUGUCUUGUGGCUUGAGUGCCAGCCCAGCCUCAGUACAAUAGAACACCAGAUAGAAUUCUAAGAUUUUAGACUCUAGUCCCUGGCUUCUGGGCAGCACCUCUGUACCCACCCAGGUCCUAGGGAACUCACAGCCUUGAAGUGAAGGACACAGCCCUGGCUGAAUUUACCACCUGAUAAUUGCAGAGCCUGAAGGCCUUGAGAAAGCAUAGGCAGUAGCCAGGAAGUGGUUACAGGAGGUUUUGGGUGAGACCCAGCACUGUACUGGCCUCAAGUCAGAUCCAGAACAGAAUGGUGGUAGCCAAAAGGGUCCUUGUGUCACUCCACCCCCAGAUUCAAGUGGCUCAGAACAGAGUGAGAAGCCCCAUUUGUUUGGAAGAAAGUAAGGGAAGAGAACAAGAAUCUCUGCCUGUUAAUCCAGAGAAUUCUUUCAGAUCUUGUCUAAGAUCAUUAAGGCAGUGCCCCUACAAGUCUGCGAGAACCACAGUGUUACUACACUUGGGGUGCUCCCUAAAGCAGAUAUAACUUACAUCACAAAACCCAAGAAAUUUUUAAGAUCUGGGAAGUCUUUCCAAGGACCACAGGUACAAACAACCCUAGACUGUGACGACUACAAUACAUACAUAACUUCAUUGCCGAGACACAGAUGAACAUCUACAAGUAUCAAAACACUCCAGAAAAACAUGACCUCACUAAAUGAACUAAAUAAGGUACCAAUGACCAAUCCUGGAAAAGCAGAGAUAUAUGACCUUUCAGACAGAAAAUUCAAAACAGCUGUUUUCAGGAAACUCAAAAAAAUUUAAGAUACACAUAGAAAGUAUUCAGAAUUAUAUCAGAUACAUUUUACAAUCAGAUUGAAAUAGUUUAACAGAAUCAAGCAGAAAUUCUGGAGCUGACAAAUGCAAUUGGCAUACUGAAGAAUGCAUCAGAGUAUUU
Cercocebus atys (sooty mangabey) is the source of this 2490-nucleotide long non-coding RNA. RefSeq lists it as uncharacterized. Lineage: Eukaryota; Metazoa; Chordata; Mammalia; Primates; Cercopithecidae. The record is from RefSeq and is a predicted model, not a curated record. The transcript is spliced from 4 exons.